Nylanderia fulva is the source of this 2421-nucleotide long non-coding RNA. RefSeq lists it as uncharacterized. Lineage: Eukaryota; Metazoa; Arthropoda; Insecta; Hymenoptera; Formicidae. The record is from RefSeq and is a predicted model, not a curated record.
CAAUCGAUUAGUGAUCGUGAUCGAUUAGGUUUGAAAUGACUCACGCUCACGCACAAAUAAGCAACAUAAAUUUCAGAACGUUACAAAUUGACAGGUUAUAAUUUGACAGGUUAUAAUUUCGAGAAGAAAGCGAGAAUCGGCGGAGUUGAGGACGCUUAACUCUUCGAAAAAUGUCAAGUGUCCCUCUGAAAGAAUAAAAUCUCAUGGCAUCCGAAAUCACCUGCUUAAUGGCGUCCUCGUGAAACUGCGCCAGGAGGGUCGCAUCCGCGGUGGAGUCGAUGAGAUCGUGUUCCGCGGAGUCGGCCGAGGCCGAGUUGACACCGGCCGUGGUGACGCUCGUCGGCUGCGUCGUCAUCUCCUCGGUGUAGAGACCGGUCCUAGUGUUCAAGCCGCGUUCGGCCGCGUUCACUUUCGUCGCUUUCACGCUGCCGCCUGAGGGUGCGAGGCCGCCCCCGCUGCCAACGAGCCACUGGCUUUCCUCCUCCGAUGAGGGCAUCACUGCCAGAAACCAUCUGGCGAAGCGGAAUAAUAAGAUAAUGAAUACGCAAUAGGCGAAUAUAUAUCUCGUUGAAUUAUAUCCUGCUUCUGACGCGCAUCCUCCCCUGCCAGAGAGAAUAUCUCGUUCGAUAGGUCGCUUCUGGAUUUAUGUCGCCUGUACAUUAUAACGCAGAUAAGAUAAAACGAAUUCGAGCCGAGAGAUAAAAGAGCGGGAAUCGGUUGCAACAAUAUUGACAUUUGAGGGAUAUGCAAAGCCGCGGUGGAAGCCGAAUAGGAAGGCGAAGAAGAAUUGAGAGGCAGGAUUUUUGCAAGAAUGAACUAAAGUAACUACGUUUUAUGUACAAGAUAUGCGUCGUCAUGUGCGAUCUAUUUUACGAUUUUGUUCGCCUUCGCGCUUUUUGCUUCGACGCUAUAUCGAUAUAAUAUUAAACGGUAGAUUGCUCCGCGCGACAGCGGAGCGUAAAGAAUUGCGCGAUCUUCGAAAAAAAUAUCUUCUAAUUUUAUUAUAUUGUAAAAUUGCAGCCUCUCCUUUACAUCGCGGAUCAAGGAUCGUUAAUAAAACUCGUCGUAAAUUAUUGAAACAAUCCCUCUUUCGCGUUCUAUGACACAGAAAGACGUGGAAAGUUGACCGUGGACUAGGAACACAAGUGUGUUAACAAUACAGUGGUGUAUUGUGCUUUGCAAUUAUGAAGUUUAUCAUGCGGUACACGUGGAAAUAAGGCAUGCGUCACGUCUAUAAGUGCGGUUCACUGACCACGUUUCUCGGAUGUGUGUACGAUAUUCGUCACGGUGUGACAAGUGAAAUUAAUGUUCGACCUUUAUCGCAAACGCCUUAAAUCUAGCCGGCUAUAUAUAACAAUAAAUAUGCAAUAUCUCCGCUUAUAUAUACCAAUAAUAAGAACGCGAGAGAACGUUAUUGAACUCUCGUAUGUUGCGUUUAUGUUUAUCGCGAUCAAUGCGAUAUUUAUACACGAAACGCCGUAAAUUUUGGCCCUAUCCUUCGAUUCGUGCGCAGCUUACAAGAGGAUAUACCGGUCUGGUGUGUGCUUACCGUUGACCUUACACUCAAAGUAACCGGAGCCGCUUUCGCGUGCACUUAUAUUUCGCAGCGGUAAUUCAACGUUUAUGAGCCCACAUUGAAGCACGCGGAGGUCGCGCGUUUUACCAAGGCUGAUUAAUUCCCGGAAUUAAUACAAGACCUGCUAUAGGUCGUCUCCGUCAACUUUAUCUCAUCGUGAAAAUGUGCAAUUUUACGUCAACGGUACACCUGGCUGCUGAAAAAAAGCAGGAAGAAGUGCUACUACGUCAUUGGUUACAAAAAAGAACGAGGCGUUAAAAUUAUACAUUCCCUCGGUUUUGGGGCGACGAUGGAACAUUCAUUAAUCUUCUCAAAGACGGACAGAUUUCUCGCAUCGGGAUGAAGAAAAUCGUCGUUGGAUAUGUCGAUUAAUUUUCGCGGAUCGAUGAAGAGCGUUGUCAACUCUAAGCACUUGGAGCACUUUGACUUGAAGAUGAUACUACUCUUCAGAGACUGCUGUUUUAUUCAGCAGCCGUGUGUGACGUCUACUUCUUCGUCAACAGCUGCAGUCGAUCACUCGUCACAAAGUCACCCUCGCGUCCUUACAUGCGACAUAUACGUCAGCGACAGAGUGCGAAUAUGAUCGAACGCGCGAAUAAAUUUACGUAACAAUAUCGUAUACGACGAUUCCGUACGUAUAGACCGGGUAUAGACAGAUGUAAAAUGAUGAUCCGUCGAUCACUGAUGACUAGUCACUUUCAUGUCGUAGACGUGGAUUAAUAACGUCAAAAUUUAUAAUUUAAAUAUUUACAUAACGAGUAAUAUAUAGAUAUACAGAUAGGAGAGUAGAUAUAUUAAUGAACAUUAUGAUAUCCCACGUCAUUAUCUCUCUUAAUUCUAAAGUU